This 1186-nucleotide ribosomal RNA is filed under the name uncultured organism. Its description in RNAcentral is "bacterial SSU rRNA". It matches the Rfam family "Bacterial small subunit ribosomal RNA", at positions 32 to 1188 of the family's 1533-position model. The record is from RNAcentral.
AACGCUGGCGGCGUGCCUAAUACAUGCAAGUCGCACGAGAAAGUAAAGCUUGCUUUACGAGUAAAGUGGCGCACGGGUGAGUAAUGCAUAAGUAAUCUACCUUCGAAACUGGGACAACCUUCCGAAAGGGGGGCUAAUACCGGAUAAGACCACGAUAUACAUUAUAGUGGUAAAAGAUGACCUCUGCUUGCAAGUUAUCAUUUGAAGAUGAGCUUAUGUCCUAUCAGCUUGUUGGUGGGGUAAAGGCCUACCAAGGCUAUGACGGGUACCUGGUCUGAGAGGAUGACCAGGCACACUGGAACUGAGACACGGUCCAGACUCCUACGGGAGGCAGCAGUAGGGAAUUUUGCGCAAUGGGAGAAAUCCUGACGCAGCGACGCCGCGUGAGUGAUGAAGGCUUUCGGGCUGUAAAACUCUGUUUAGUGGGAAGAAGGGUUUAAGGCUAAUAUCCUUAAGCAUUGACGGUACCACUAGAGUAAGCACCGGCUAACUCCGUGCCAGCAGCCGCGGUAAUACGGAGGGUGCAAGCGUUGAUCGGAAUUACUGGGCGUAAAGCGAGAGCAGGUGGUUUAAUAAGUCAGAUGUGAAAUCUCUAGGCUUAACCUAGAAACUGCAUCUGAUACUAUUAAACUAGAGUGUAAGAGAGGGUGAUGGAAUUCCCAGUGUAGGGGUAAAAUCCGUAGAUAUUGGGAGGAACACCGGAGGCGAAGGCGAUCACCUGGCUUACAACUGACACUCAUCCUCGAGAGCAUGGGUAGCAAACAGGAUUAGAUACCCUGGUAGUCUAUGCUGUAAACGAUGGACACUAGAUGUUGUGGGAUUUGAUCCCUGCAGUAUCGUAGUUAACGCGUUAAGUGUCCCGCCUGGGGAAUACGGUCGCAAGAUUAAAACUCAAAGAAUUUGACGGGGGCCCGCACAAGCGGUGGAGCAUGUGGUUCAAUUUCGAGGCAACGCGAAAAAACCUUACCCUGGGCUUGAAAUUCCUGCUUUAAAUCAUAGAGAUAUGGUCUAGUCUUCCGAACAAGGCAGGGACCGGUGCUGCAUGGCUGUUGUCAGCUCGUGUCCGUGAGAUGUUGGGGUUAAGUCCUGCAACGAGCGCAACCCUUAUCAUUAGUUGCCAUCAUUAAGUUGGGUACUCUAAUGAGACUGCCGGUGUUAAACCGGAGGAAGUUGGGGAUGACGUCAA